GGGGGUGGGCACCAGGGUCCCGUGCUUCUAACAGGCUCCCAGGUGACACGAUGCAGCUGGUCCUGGGAACACACUUGGCGCCCAAGGUUUUAGAUGGAGACUUCCUCCCUCCUCAGAUCACCACCACUGUCUUCGUUCUCUAUUGUUGCCAUGACAAAUUACCAUAGACUCCGUGGCCCAGCAGACAGUGCUGCAGGUCAGAAGUCCCUGCGGUCUCCCCGGGCUAAAGUGAGGGGUCGGCAGGGCUGGCUCCUUCCAGAGACUCUGGGGAGCAUCUGUUUCUUGCCUUUAUCCAGCUUCUAGAAGUGCCCGCAUUCCUUGGCUCACGGCCCCUCCUCCAUGUUGAAAGCUGGCAACGUGGCCUCUCUCUGCCUUUCCUCCAUGGUCACAUCUCCCCCUGACCACCGCCGGGAAAGCCCUCCACUUUUCAGGACCCAGGUUCCGGGUUUAGGAUGCGGACAUCUUCCUGCCUCUCUGCCGGCCCCUCUCCCAGCUGAGGACAGCGCUUUACCAGCAGGAGCAGAGCAGUCCCACCACCACCACUGCGUCCCUGGGCUCUGUGCUCUGUGUUCUGCACUGGUCUCACCUGAGACCCCGGCACAUGCAGACGCCUCACUGAGCUGGUUCUUUUACUCGUCCAAAAGGAUCGUUUACGUGCUGCUCCCAGACAAGAUGAAACAGUCUGCUCUCAGCGGCCGGGCAGAGAAAAGGCUCCCACCCAUACCCGCUCCCAUGACCCACAUCCUGGCCCACCCCCUCCUAUGAUCCCACACACGUCCAGACCAGGAGGUUCCAUACUGAGCCAUCUCCUGCCCCUUUGUCGCACACCUCGGUCAUUUCCUCUGGUCUGUCUUUCUAUUUACAGAUGUUUCCAUAGACAUGAAGAUAUAAUUGUGCUCAUGCCGCUUCCCAGCCACUCUCCAGAAGAAAGCGUCCGCGUGGCGGGAGGGCAAACACUUCACAGAAGAGGGGCCCUUUAUCUCAGCACCUACAUUUAAUUUCUAAAAUCAUUUUAUGAAGGCAAGAGAUUGAGAUUCACUUUUCAAAAUAUAUUUGCUUGCAACCUAGAAACAAGCAAAAAUAAAGACUCUGGAAAUCGUCGUGUGAGGGAAGGGAGAGUUUUGAGCCAAAGACAAUGCUCUGACUUUAUUUUUCUUCUUUGUGCAGCCUCCGUGUGGAUUAGCCUGGACAGGGCAG
This 1197-nucleotide long non-coding RNA is filed under the name Equus asinus (donkey). RNAcentral's name for it is "lncRNA (ENSEASG00005037808.1)". The record is from RNAcentral. Lineage: Eukaryota; Metazoa; Chordata; Mammalia; Perissodactyla; Equidae.